Long non-coding RNA from Erigeron canadensis, 508 nucleotides. RefSeq lists it as uncharacterized. Lineage: Eukaryota; Viridiplantae; Streptophyta; Magnoliopsida; Asterales; Asteraceae. The record is from RefSeq and is a predicted model, not a curated record. The transcript is spliced from 3 exons.
UACACCUACAUUCUCAGCUUAGCUUACACAAUUUGACAUAACAACAUUUCCGGUCUGGUGGCCAAAAACCCCAUUCCCGAAUCCCUCAUUUUCGGUCAUUGCGGCGUAGAUGACUGUGCGGCUGGCCACUUGUAUCUCGCUUUCAUUAUUUCCUUUCUACAAUCGAAGCUCUUUGUAAAUGGGCCUCUUGGUAAGAAGCCCCUAAGUAUACAAGAGAAUCGGGACUGCUUCCAUAACGGAUACUUGAUCGAGUCAAUAUGACUUGAAUUUUUCAUUGUGGGUACGACGUAAGUUUGUAAAUCGCAGUUGGCUGUACGUAAAGUUUGGAGUGUUGCUUAGAUUGUUUCGGAAACAUUGGGUAAAGUUGAUGUUCUCAUCUGAGCUCUCACAAAGAAUGCAGGACUGACUCACAUAAUGGCUGGGGUUGUUAUCAAUGGUAGUUUUGUGCAUUUAUUGGUAUUAUAUCCAUUGGCAUGUUUAUUGAACUUCAAUAAUAUGAGUAAUCGUG